RNAcentral lists this non-coding RNA (786 nucleotides) under Pholoe pallida. The record is from RNAcentral. Lineage: Eukaryota; Metazoa; Annelida; Polychaeta; Phyllodocida; Pholoidae.
CAAAAGUUUGACUCUAGCUCUCAUAUUUAUUCCCCCAAUGCUAAACACAUGCAAGACUUCCCCUCCCGUAAAAUCUUUAUAUAUUAAAAUUCCCCCUUUCUAUAAAAUUAAUAAUCAGCCUUUACGCCUGCAGUGAACAACCCUUGUCCUCAUAUGAAAGUAUGGCCAGGCUUCUGGAACUUCUAUUGGCUAAAUUAGUGCCAGCCGCCGCGGUUACACUAAAAAUAAUAUAAAUAUAAUCUGUUUUGUAGAUUUCAUAAUUGAUUAAAACUAUAAUAAUUAGAGGUUUAAUUCCUUUAUACAAAUUUUCCUUAAUAAUCUCCCGCCCUUUACUCUACGAAAGUCUAGUUAAAAACAGGGAUUAGAUACCCCUUUAUUCUUUACCAUAAACACCUAGGUACUAAAAACUCAUGUUUAAAACCUAAAGAGUUUGGCGGUGCUUCAACCCUACUAGGGGAGCCUGUAGCUUAAUUCGAUAAUCCACGUAUAAUCCUACCUAUUUUUGUUCUCAGCCUGUGUAUUGUCGUCGCCAGUUUACCUUUUAUGAGACUGUAAACUAACCCGCUAACACGCACACGUCAGAUCAACAUGCAGCUAAUACUUAGGCGCUAAUGGGCUACAAUCUUCAAAAAGACACAAAAAUUUGAAUGACUAUUAAUUAAGGUGGACUUAGAAGUAAACAUUCCUGCCUUGAAUAAGGAAUCUGAAGCGUGCACACAUCGCCCGUCGCUCUCGCCGAAAGGGGAGAUAAGUCGUAACAUAGUUGGAGUAACGGAAGUUGCCCCU